RNAcentral lists this small nuclear RNA (146 nucleotides) under Ursus americanus (American black bear). RNAcentral's name for it is "U1 spliceosomal RNA (ENSUAMG00000021699.1)". It matches the Rfam family "U1 spliceosomal RNA". Rfam says of the family: U1 is a small nuclear RNA (snRNA) component of the spliceosome (involved in pre-mRNA splicing). Its 5' end forms complementary base pairs with the 5' splice junction, thus defining the 5' donor site of an intron. The record is from RNAcentral. Lineage: Eukaryota; Metazoa; Chordata; Mammalia; Carnivora; Ursidae.
AUACUGCCUGGCAGGGGAGAUACCAUGAUCACAAUGGUUUUCCCAGGUCGUCAAUGCACUCAGGAUGGGCCGACCCCAGUGAUUUCCCCAAAUGUGCAAACUCAACUGCAUGAUUUGUGGUGGUGGGACUGUUCGUGUUCUCCCUG